AGUGAACGCUGGCGGUAGGCCUAACACAUGCAAGUCGAACGGCAGCACAGUAAGAGCUUGCUCUUACGGGUGGCGAGUGGCGGACGGGUGAGGAAUACAUCGGAAUCUACUUUUUCGUGGGGGGUAACGUAGGGAAACUUACGCUAAUACCGCAUACGACCUACGGGUGAAAGCAGGGGAUCUUCGGACCUUGCGCGAUUGAAUGAGCCGAUGUCGGAUUAGCUAGUUGGCGGGGUAAAGGCCCACCAAGGCGACGAUCCGUAGCUGGUCUGAGAGGAUGAUCAGCCACAAUGGAACUGAGACACGGUCCAGACUCCUACGGGAGGCAGCAGUGGGGAAUAUUGGACAAUGGGCGCAAGCCUGAUCCAGCCAUACCGCGUGGGUGAAGAAGGCCUUCGGGUUGUAAAGCCCUUUUGUUGGGAAAGAAAAGCAGCAGGUUAAUACCCCGCUGUUCUGACGGUACCCAAAGAAUAAGCACCGGCUAACUUCGUG
RNAcentral lists this ribosomal RNA (492 nucleotides) under uncultured bacterium. RNAcentral describes it as "partial 16S ribosomal RNA". It matches the Rfam family "Bacterial small subunit ribosomal RNA", at positions 29 to 507 of the family's 1533-position model. The record is from RNAcentral.